AGUGAACGCUGGCGGUAGGCCUAACACAUGCAAGUCGAACGGCAGCACAGUAAGAGCUUGCUCUUACGGGUGGCGAGUGGCGGACGGGUGAGGAAUACAUCGGAAUCUACUUUUUCGUGGGGGAUAACGUAGGGAAACUUACGCUAAUACCGCAUACGACCUACGGGUGAAAGCAGGGGAUCUUCGGACCUUGCGCGAUUGAAUGAGCCGAUGCCGGAUUAGCUGGUUGGCGGGGUAAAGGCCCACCAAGGCGACGAUCCGUAGCUGGUCUGAGAGGAUGAUCAGCCACACUGGAACUGAGACACGGUCCAGACUCCUACGGGGGGCAGCAGUGGGGAAUAUUGGACAAUGGGCGCAAGCCUGAUCCAGCCAUACCGCGUGGGUGAAGAAGGCCUUCGGGUUGUAAAGCCCUUUUGUUGGGAAAGAAAAGCAGCAGGUUAAUACCCCGCUGUUCUGACGGUACCCAAAGAAUAAGCACCGGCUAACUUCGUG
RNAcentral lists this ribosomal RNA (492 nucleotides) under uncultured bacterium. Its description in RNAcentral is "partial 16S ribosomal RNA". It matches the Rfam family "Bacterial small subunit ribosomal RNA", at positions 29 to 507 of the family's 1533-position model. The record is from RNAcentral.